This is a long non-coding RNA of Chrysemys picta bellii (western painted turtle), 1926 nucleotides long. RefSeq lists it as uncharacterized. Lineage: Eukaryota; Metazoa; Chordata; Testudines; Emydidae. The record is from RefSeq and is a predicted model, not a curated record.
CCAGGCCUAGAUCGGCGCAUGUCGAGAGGAGCAGCUCUAUGUGGGACUCCAUUUCGAAACGGGACUUCCCAUUGAGGAGCCAGUCAUCCAGGUUACUUCUGAAUCCAUGGAGGAGCCAGGCUUUGAUUUGGAGCAUGUAUGGCUUGCAAUGGAGGAUGCGUCCUGUGAAAGGAGCCGUGGUGUGAGAUGGAGGAGAUAAGUAUACGAACCAUAAUUCAUCAAAUACCCACUGGCUGUGCAGCACUGGCUUGAAGAAACUUGACAUCCAUUAGCUUGGACGUUACUCAAGAGUUAGAUUUGCUCAUUUAAAUUCAUAAUGGACGCUACUCAGACAUAUCCCCUUAUGUGGGGCUCACUCCCUCUGCUGGACUGCUGCAUCACCAUACUGACUAGGGUGAUCAGACAGCAAGUGUGAAAAAUCAGGACAGGAGAUGGCGGGGUAAUAGGAGCCUAUAUAAGAGACCCAAAAAUCAGGACCGUCUCUGUAAAAUCGGGACAUCUGGUCACUCGAAUACUGACCAAGAUUUAUCCUGCUUCCCAGAGCAAGAGCAGCUUUAGAUUCACUGCUUUCUACAACAGAGCUUUGGAAUGUGAACAUUUCUUCUAGAAACUGCCCAGAACUUCAAAUGAAUUGGAUUUUCAGUAAGUGGAACCUGUUGAUAAACGAUUUCAGGCAGCUUGAGAAUUGUGCCUGCUGACAGCAGAUAUACCCUCCUUGAUGAAGAUCACAGAAAUGAGAGAUACAGAGAACAAUGGACGAGAUACUUAAAGCAGACUAUGGAAUGCAGGUGUAGCAACCUGUAGGGAACCUGGAAGAGCAGAGGUGGCAGAAGGGAAGACUUCAGAAGGGGCACUAUUAAGUCAGUCUGUAUGCUCAUUGCUAGAAUGGUAGCUGCAGUUGCAGCAUCUCUGUAAAUAGUUCUCUUAAUAAAGAGCCAAUUUAGUUUUAGAAAUAUGGGAUCCUUUACAAUGAAUGGAAGAUGAUGUGUCCAAAUCCCCACUGUUGGGAUCUUACCCAUUUCCCCAAUAAUUGAGGACUGCUCCCUACAAUACAUUUGCAUUCUUUCCAGUCUAAUUGAGCAAACUCAAUUCACAGUGGAGUUUUCACUACUUUCCUUACAAAGAUUAUUCUAGUGAAAGAUUAGGGAAGAAAAUUCUGCUGUUCAUCCUCAGUUUUCCACCCCCAGGGCUCCAGUGUUUGGCUAGCCUCUGUAUACACAGCAAUAUAUUUUCUUCAAACAAUUUGUCUCAUUCUUCUUGCCUUUCAGUUUCCUUUCUGGUAAAGAAGUACCCAGAACCGUUCACAGUAUUAUAGAUGUGGUCACAUCAAAGCAUAAGUCGGACUAUAACCAUUCUGGCCCGUGACACAAUUCUUCUCUUUAUAAGUCAACCAUCUUAUGUUGCCUUCCUCACAGGACUGAGAUAAGGCUUGAUUAUGUUAUGUUUGUGAAUGCUUUAAGAUCUUCACAUGAUAAGCACCCUAAAAGCCCAAGGUAAAUUAUUCUCACAGAUGUUUCACCCCUACCCACAUCACCACCUUGGUCUUUUCUUGAUUGAUUUAAAGUGAACUAGCUUUUCUGAGGUGUUUGUGAAGGUUCAAUUUUCUUCCCCAAUCAUGGAUUUAAUAACUUUUAGGAUACUAUAUAGCAAUUGUUAAACACUCCUUUUGAAAAAAUUAAAACAAACUGACUUUUUCCUCUCCUUAGUCCAUUAUGAAAGCAUAGUGUGCAAAAUCUUUAGUUUUAAAAUUCAGUGGCGACACAUACUGUAUUGGCCAAACUGUACAAAGGUAAAAGUAUGAACAUGUAUUUUUAGCCACUGAAGAAUUUUAGCCAGUGAAGCUUUUAUCAAAGUCUAUUAAAAUUUCAUUAGGUUGUUUAUAAGAAUGAUUUCAUUAUUGUCCUUGUUAAAUAAAACCUGACUGAA